UUACAUUCUUAUCUCCUGCUGUGUGACA
RNAcentral lists this non-coding RNA (28 nucleotides) under Rattus norvegicus (Norway rat). Lineage: Eukaryota; Metazoa; Chordata; Mammalia; Rodentia; Muridae. The record is from RNAcentral.